Molecule: ribosomal RNA, 491 nt
Filed under: uncultured bacterium
Lineage: Bacteria
Description: partial 16S ribosomal RNA
Rfam family: Bacterial small subunit ribosomal RNA
Source: RNAcentral
AGUGAACGCUGGCGGUAGGCCUAACACAUGCAAGUCGAACGGCAGCACAGUAAGAGCUUGCUCUUACGGGAGGCGAGUGGCGGACGGGUGAGGAAUACAUCGGAAUCUACUUUUUCGUGGGGGAUAACGUAGGGAAACUUACGCUAAUACCGCAUACGACCUACGGGUGAAAGUAGGGGAUCUUCGGACCUUGCGCGAUUGAAUGAGCCGAUCUCGUAGUAGCUAGUUGGCGGGGUAAAGGCCCACCAAGGCGACGAUCCGUAGCUGGUCUGAGAGGAUGAUCGGCAACCCGGGAACGGAGACACGGUCCAGAAUCCGACGGGAGGCAGCAGUGGGGAAUAUUGGACAAGGGGCGGAAGCCUGAUCCAGCCAAACCGCGUGGGUGAAGAGGGCCUUCGGGUUGUAAAGCCCUUUUGUUGGGAAAGAAAAGCAGCAGGUUAAUACCCCGCUGUUCUGACGGUACCCAAAGAAUAAGCACCGGCUAACUUCGU